AACGAACGCUGGCGGCAUGCCUAACACAUGCAAGUCGAACGGGACCAUCGGGACAGGUGGCGCUUGGGGGCGGAAAGCGGGGGAAGCGGCACGUAGGUACCGGAUAACUCCCCGUAGGGGGGGCUAAUGCCGGGAAAUGUAUGCGGACACAGGAUUUGUCGCACUGGGGUGGGCCCGGGUUGGUUUAGCUAGUUGGGAGGGUAAAAGCCGACCAAGGCGACGAUCCAUAGCUGGGCUGAGAGGCUGAUCGGCCACGCUGGGACUGAGACACGGCCCAGACUCCUACGGGAGGCAGCAGUGGGGAAUAUUGGACAAUGGGCGAAAGCCUGAUCCCGCCAUGCCGCGUGAGUGAUGAAGGCCUUAGGGUUGUACAGCUCUUUCACCCGGGAUGAUAAUGACAGUACCGGGAGAAUAAGCUCCGGCUAACUCCGUG
Molecule: ribosomal RNA, 433 nt
Filed under: uncultured bacterium
Lineage: Bacteria
Description: partial 16S ribosomal RNA
Rfam family: Bacterial small subunit ribosomal RNA
Source: RNAcentral